AGCCGAGCCGAGCCGAGCCGAGCCGAGCCGAGCCGAGCCGAGCCGAGCCGAGCCGAGCCGAGCCGAGCCGAGCCGAGCCGAGCCGAGCCGAGCCGAGCCGAGCCGAGCCGAGCCGAGCCGAGCGCUGCCUCAUCGUGACGGAGGAACUCCGAGGUCCGACGAACGCGGGACGAAGAUAGUGACAACAGCCGUGUCUGAGACGAGAGUGCGCUGGACGAAGCCGAAGGGAGUCCAAGAGGAGAGCCAACCGAUUGUAGCCAAAGAAGAAUCCAGGUUGGAACAAAUGUGUCCCGAAUGAAGCCGAGCCAGAGGGCCGGAGGUAGCCGAACUUAGCCGAGAGGCGCCGAAAGCAGUCGAAGGCGUUAGCGCGCGGAAGCGUUAACGCGUAGAAAGUUGUCUCGUUCAGGUGGUAACCAGGUGACUUCGGAAUUUGCUUCUUUAGAUCUAGAACAUAAACUAGCAAACUGCAAACAGAGAAGUCUAUUAGCAUAACCCUCCAAUAUCGACAGUUCAGAAUGUUAGCUGUCAAUAUUCCAAGAGCACCCAGAAUCGGCACCGCUUGCCGGAACAGCAUACAGUUUUCUCUACUUUUGUGAUUAUUCCCUUCAAAAUUUUUUGAAUAAGCACAAUAUUUUAUGAAUUUCUGCUUCUUGUUUGCAAAACUCGUGAAUAACAUGCUGUUUCACAAAGUCUCAAUCAGGUACCUGCCAGUUGCAGCCGCGUUCCGCCUUCCACUAGAGGGACACCUUGGGUCGUGUUUGUAACUGCCUAGAACUGGUAGGUGGCAUAGGCUGCAAUCCUGGCUAUUCCAGAUGCUGAAGCAAAUUCAAGGUCAGCCUGAGUUACAGAUGGGGACCCUCCAACACGAAGUAUAAAGAGUGCUGGUAUUAGAUCAGUGGUAGACACCCCCCCGGAAUUUGUCACUGAUAUUUCAGGAAUUUCUGAUGUAAUAAUCUUUCAAAGUCCUUCAUAUGGUAGAGUUUUCUGUAACGUGGAUGCAUGUGCUUAUUUAUCUAAUUACUUAUUUGAGAACAAUUAGUCAGCUCCCUCCACCAGCGUUAAGCAUAGCUAGCAUUUCACUAGCUGCUUUGUAGAGAAGUUCAACCAAACCCUCGAGGUACCUUUCUGGAAGUGGAUGAUUAGUGGGAUUAAAAAGGAAAUAUUUAUCUGAGUUUUCAUUACCUUUAUUACAUUGCCUCCCAGAAAGCCUGCCGAUUUCCCUUCACAUCAGCAGCCUAUAAGAGUUUCUCUACUGUUUCCUCCAGUGUUUUCCUUACAUGGAAGUGGAAGCAGACACUUCACAUACAGCAUUCCCUGUGAGCCAUGCAGUUCUGCAAGCGGGUUACAUAACCAGGCAAGGCCACAGAGCCAGGUGAUAUAUUUCCUAGCUUUUGUUCAGGAUGCAGUAAGUAGGGAGUCAACACAUGCGUGGGUGACAAUGCUGAUAUUUACACCCAGUUCCUCCCACACUGACAGGCAGAAUAAUGCAACCCAAAAGAUGCCCGCAUUGAAUUCCCAGAACCUUUUAUGUUGUUUUUCGUGACAAGGAGGAAUUUGUAGGUUUGUUUAAGCUAAACUCUUGAGAUGGAGCAAUGGAUGGGAAAUUAUCCGAGUGUGCCCAAUAUAACCAUAAAGGUGUUUACAGGCAAGGGGGAGGCUGGAGGGUUAGUCAAAGGAGAUGUCAAGGGGGAAACAGGUCAGAGUGAGGUAUGAAGGACCAGGAAUGCAGGCUUUAGAAGCUGGAGAAACAUGGUUUCUUCUCUGGACCCUCAAGAAAUAUAACAGCCACCUCCUACAAUCCAUUUUGGACAUCUGGUGCCUACAGCUGGAAGAAACUGCAUUUGUGUUAUUUUAACCCCUGGGUUUGGGGUAAUUUGCCACAACAAUAAUAGGAAAUGAAUACACAAGUGUUUCUUAUUUUGACUACACUGAACUCUGAAGAUUAAGUUCUCAUCUUAUAAAAAACAAACCAGCAAACACCAUAGAUAAGGGGGCUGGAGAGAUGGCUCAGAGGUUAAGAGCACUGGCUCCUGUUCCAGAGGUCCUGAGUUCAAUACCUAGCAACCACAUGAUGGCUCACAACCAUCUAUUUUGAGGUCUGGUGCCCUUUUCUGGUGUGCAAGCAUACAUUCAUGCAGAACACUGUAUACAUAAUAAACAAAUCUUUAAAAACCCAAACUGUAGAUAAGAAUAUAUAAGGAAACAAUUGUUUAGAAGGUCAAGAUUUACUGAAAAUUCAAGCAUAUGUAUAGAGUGACUGGGGUAUAGCUAGCAGGGAAAGUGCUUACUGUGAAAGAAUGGGUACCUGUGUGUCAAGAAUGGGUACCUGUGUAUCAAGAAUGGGUACCUGUGUGUCAAGAAUGGGUACCUGUGUGUAGUCCUAGAACCAAUGUAAAAGAACUGGAGAGUUCCAUUGCUGGGAGGUAGUGACAGGUAGGUCCUGAGGCUUGUCAUCCAGGUCAGUGAGACAAGUCUAUUUCCAACACAGGGUAGUUGUCAAGAGGGCUCAGUGGGUAAGAUGUUUGUCACUAAGCCAGACUCUCUUUGGUCUUAGGGCUUCAGAUGCUGAAGUUGUUCUUUGCCCUCCACGUGUAUGCUGUGGCUUGAACCCCUCAUAAAUAAAUGCAUGCAUUGAAAAAACAACCAAGGUGAACAGUUACUGAGAAUUGACACUCAAGGUUAACCUCUGGUCACAACACGUGUGUGCACACAAUACAUAUACAUGUGUGAGUGCACACAUGCACACUCACAAUAACCAUAUGGAUGUAUAAAUGCAUUAGUAUUUAUUCUUCCAAAGAAUGUUAAUUAGGUAUACAAUGUGUCAGGUCCUGUACCAAGGGUCUUACCAGGGAAUAAAUCAGGCAAAAUCCCUGCCUUAUUUUCUUCUGUGGAGCUAAUGUAUGAAGAAAUCUAUCGAUCAUUUCGUUAUGUGAACGGUGGUUAUUUCUGGAAAAUUUUUCUUAAUUGUUCCAUCACAAGAAAGUACUUGAAAACUUUUGAUUCAUCCCUAGUAAGCUGACUAUCAGAGAGCUAUUAAAAUCUGAAUGUGGAAAGGGACCAAUAUCUAAUAUAUACUGAAAAAAAGAAAAAAUUGUAAAGCAAAAAUGGAUAGCAUGGUCCCACUUAUAUCAAUAGUUAUUUUCCCAGGACUGCACAUAAAGUGCUGGAAAGAAACCAAAUCUCUCAGCACAAGCAGGCGUCUUUUAGGGGAGUUAAGGGGUGUGUGGGGAGGCAGUUAGCAUCACCUUUGAAACUUUACUAAUUCUGUUUAUUCCCUUCUGUACUGUUUGCCUUCCUUCCCUGGUACUUACAUUGCAUGUAUAAUAAAAAUGAAAGUAGAAACUUCCCA
This is a long non-coding RNA of Mesocricetus auratus (golden hamster), 3349 nucleotides long. RefSeq lists it as uncharacterized. NCBI's taxonomy places the organism in Eukaryota, Metazoa, Chordata, Mammalia, Rodentia, Cricetidae. The transcript has 2 exons. The record is from RefSeq and is a predicted model, not a curated record.